AUACUUACCUGGCUAGGGAGAUGCCAUGAUUAUGAAGGUGGUUUUCCCAGGACGAGGCUUAUCCAUUGCACUUGGAUAUGCUGAACCCUGCGACUUCCCCAAAUGUGGGAAACUUGACUUCAUAAUCUGUGGCAGUGGGGGAUAUAUUUGCGCUCUCCUCUG
This is a small nuclear RNA of Eptesicus fuscus (big brown bat), 162 nucleotides long. RefSeq annotates it as U1 spliceosomal RNA. The record is from RefSeq and is a predicted model, not a curated record. The transcript has a single exon. NCBI's taxonomy places the organism in Eukaryota, Metazoa, Chordata, Mammalia, Chiroptera, Vespertilionidae.